GUGCCUACGGGACGCAGCAGUGGGGGAUAUUGCACAAUGGGGGGAACCCUGAUGCAGCGACGCCGCGUGAGCGAUGGAGUACUUCGGUAUGUAAAGCUCUGUCAGCAGGGAAGAAAAAUGACGGUACCUGACUAAGAAGCCCCGGCUAACUACGUGCCAGCAGCCGCGGUAAUACGUAGGGGGCAAGCGUUAUCCGGAUUUACUGGGUGUAAAGGGAGCGUAGACGGCUGUGCAAGUCUGAAGUGAAAUGCCGGGGCCCAACCCCGGAACUGCUUUGGAAACUGUACAGCUAGAGUGCAGGAGGG
Molecule: ribosomal RNA, 305 nt
Filed under: uncultured bacterium
Lineage: Bacteria
Description: bacterial SSU rRNA
Rfam family: Bacterial small subunit ribosomal RNA
Source: RNAcentral